Long non-coding RNA from Microplitis demolitor, 4271 nucleotides. RefSeq lists it as uncharacterized. The transcript has 2 exons. The record is from RefSeq and is a predicted model, not a curated record. NCBI's taxonomy places the organism in Eukaryota, Metazoa, Arthropoda, Insecta, Hymenoptera, Braconidae.
CAGUUCGUUGUCACGCGGGACCAAAUUUUGAAUUUGAAAACAGUGGAUAAAUUUAUUGUUUACUACGAUGAUGAUGAUUAUGAUUGUUAUUUAAUGAAAUAAUUAAACUAUGAUUAAGGAUAGAUGUAAUUGAUAAAAUAACUUUUAUCUGAAGACUGAAUUUUAUUAUAAAGUAUGGAUAAAACUUGAUCAGUAAUAACAGUUGUAUUCGUAAAGAGUUCUCGGAGAGAAGUGAAGUUACAUCAGACGGCAGAGAGAUCUCGGACCUUCACUCUCCAACUUCUCCCCACUACUCUCAUGUUCACACUCAUGCUUAUAUGUAUAUAUUCUUAUAUAUCUAUGUUCUUUACUAAAUAUUAUACUUAUACAUUUAUACUUUCUACUAAUUCAAAUUUGGGAUAUAAGCUUACACAUAUACGUUCUUCACUUUAUCCAUUCUACAACUUCUUAUUACUUAUUCUAUUUAUAUGUACUUAGAUACAAUCUUCCAGUUAAAUAUUCUAGGCUAUCAGAGGUGUAUUCCUCCAUAAUUAUUCUAUAUUUAAUUAUUUAGUACGAUUGACAUUACUAUUUAUUGUGAAACAUUAUUAUAAUUAAUAUAAUGCUAUAUUUCUAUAUUUUCUUUAAUUUAUUUAUUAUACGCGUCACUCUUUAUUUAAUAUUAACAGUAAUAGUUAAAUUCUGGUGAGACAUGGUUUUCAUUAGUAAGUAACAUUUAUUAAUUAUAUAUUUUCUUUUCUUACUUGUUGAUAGAAUAUGUAUUUGUUUAUAACCAUAUUGACGGUUAACUUUAGAACAAGGACCUAUUCAUGAUUUUUAUGCGUAUGUUUUGUUUAGGUUUUAAGUAUCGGAUGACAGGAAACGUUCCAAGACCACUCAACCUGUAUUUAUAUUUCUCUGAAUACAAAAUAAAGGUUUAUCUAUCUAUUUAUUUAAACUUUCUUAUAAUAAAAAUAUAUAAUUUAAUGAGUAUGUGCCACGACGAUUUAUCAUUUAAAUUAUUGACUCAAUAUUGUUAAGACGCAAUAAGUGUUGUAAGAAAUUAAUAUAUAAUUUCAAAUGGAAUUCAAAUGCGCGCUUCUUAUAUAUCUCAAGUUUACUAAUUAAUUAACAGGUGGAGGCACCUGAGGCUGUUGAGGACAUAACACCUCCCCCGUUAAUGAAAAUUCGACAUAUCGUUCGUCGAAUUUUUCUCUCAUAUAUACACAUGUAUAUAACGAUAUAUAAUAAUAGCUGAAGCUAAUUCUGAAUGAAAUAUAAAUUCUGCAAGACAAUUACCUAUAUAAAUAAUACCAUUACCGGUUGUUAAAUCGUGGUCGCACAUUUACAUUACAAGUUACAAAAAUAAUCAUUUUUAUGAUUUAAAACUAACAGUAAAUAUUAACUCAGGUUACGCACAAUAUUUAUAUUACACAAGAAUACAUAUUUUUUAAGGGUGAGCAGCACUAACCGGAUGUUCGAAUUUAUUUUUCUAAUUACGUUUGGAAUAAUUACGUCACUUAAAUGAUGAAAACCUUCAAAAAAAAAGUUUAUCUUAAACAUUUUUCGGAAGCUAUAAAAUUUUUGUAAUAAGAAUUGAUCAAUAAAUUCAAAGAAAAGUAAAAUUUAAAAACUCGUUUAGUACGGCCCAGCCUUAUCAUUGAGGUCACGGUGUUUACAUUUUAGCAAGAGUUUAAUCCAGACUAUGAAGUAUUAUACGGAUCAACAAGGUAAUUUAAUUUUGUAGAGUCUUUUGACGAAUUUAAAGAAAAUUUGAUUAAAGUUAUACUCGGAAAUUCUUAUCACUUAUGUUAUAUUAUUCCAGAUAUAUUAAUUUCAACUUGUUUGUAUGUACGACUUGGUAUGUUAUGGGGUGAAUUAGGCGAGGACGUCCUCUCUGGCAUCUCAUGCAUGGGGGACUCAAACCCCCACACGACAUCCGAGCUCGGUACAACAACUGCUGGGUGGUCCAACCACCCAAGGGACAGGGCUAAUAAACCCCUCUGAAGAGGGCUGCCACUCAUCCAACAACUCGUCUCCCUGGGAAGAGAGUACUGUCCUCGUUCGAGUCUCGCUUUCCGCCUCAACGUCAGGUCGGCGAGUCGUCGGGAAGGCAUCUCUAUCCUUCAGAUAUGUGCACAACGUGCCAAGGGUGGCCAUAAACUUGCUGUUUACGCCACUAUAUUUGGAGGGGGUUGUCCAACAACCCCAGGGAGUCGAUGCCAUAAUUUUUUUUUCACACUCUCUUUUUUUUUUAUCUUAUUCUGUUUUUAUCCAUGCUAAUACUCAACCUACUAUUUCCUAUGAGUUUAUCCUCAAGAAGCGGUUUCCCAAGCUUUGUGUUCUAAAUCAAUAAUAUAUUAAGUAAUUUUAUGUCAAUGGGGUUUCGAGAGAGCGCAUCAACAUUAGCGUUCAAUCGACCUUCCCUAUAAUUGACUUCAUAUUCAUAUUUCCGUACUUCAGCAACCGAUGUAGGAGUUAAGAUAUAGGAAUUUUUAUUCUAUGAGCUCACACCAAUGAUUUAUGAUCUGUGACUUUCAGGAGUUCAGGGGCAGAGUAGUAGGAAGGUAUUUUCUAAUGUCUUCUGGCUGAGAAUCGCACCGAGGGCAUAAAAAGAAGUGUUUGUUGUCGUGACGAAAAGUUUUGAAAGUGGGGGAACUGGAGAAUAAAUUAAUAUCAACUUAUAAUUAAUAUCAGAAUCUAUCGUGAAUUAAAAUUUCUCCAAAUUAAGUAGUUCAUCACUAUUAAUAGUUAUACACGGUGAGGUAAUAUGCUUGUUGUUGUGAGUUUUUAUGGAAGCGUCAUUUUGAAUAAGUUUUGUUUCAUUUGGUCUUCUGUGUGGGCUGUAUUGUCAGUUUGUUGGUCGUUGUAUGCAUUGAAAUUUUGGUUUGAUGUUGUGUUAUUUUCUCUAACCCAAGUAAACCUAUUUUUGCAGAUUUGUGCGAAAUGACCAGGCUUAGAACAUAUUGAACAAAUUACGUUCAUGGAGUUAUUACAGUCUUUUUGUAAUGUCCUCGUCCUCCACAAGAAAAACAAAUAAUCGAAUUACGGUCAAGUCGUCUUAUAUUGUCAUUGUUAUGUGUCUGAGUUACCCGUACAGUAGCCUGGUUAUUAGUUGAUGAUUCCUGUGGCAGUCUGUUAUUGUUAUGAUUUCUUCUAUCUCCAUAAUGAUUGUUCGCAAAUUUGAUAUGAUUUUGGGAACUACUAAUGGAAUAUUGGCUGGAGUAAGGAUUAUUACUACAGUGGGAAUGUAUUUUAAAAAGUGAAUUUUUUUGUUCCAAUUCUUUUUCUAAUUCUACGGCAAGAUCUACUGCUCGCGACAGAGUAAGAGGUUUUUGACUAGCAGCCCACAAUCCUAACUCUCCCCUAAGACCCCGUACGAAGCUAUCUCGAGCUCCUUCUUGGGUACUAGCUAAUAACCCGGUUCGUAUUUCACCCGAAUGCUUAUCCAUAAUUACUUCUGACGUUCCUUGAACGAUUUCGUUGAUUCUAGUAACGUAAUCUACGAUGGUUUCACCAUCCUUUUAAUAAAUAUUCGAAAGUAACGACUGCUAUUGAGAUAGAGUUCUACUCGGCACUAAAGCUCUUUUAAGAUUUCCCAAAAUCCCUUCAAAUGCUAAUCCCGAUUGAUUUGAAAUAUAUUUGCUGGCUUUACCCAAUAUACGAGAUUUUAUCAACUGAGUUAAAUACAAUUUACCAGAUGGAUGUAUUAGAUUUAAGGUUUGAUUACAAAGUUCAAUAAAAUUAUUAACUGGCAUAUUUUCUCCAUUGAAUACGGGUAUAAGGUUUAUAGCGUCUUUGAUACUCAAAAAUUGGGAAUUACUUGUAUGAACUAGAUUAUUGGUAGCAUAAUUGUGCUCAUUAUUUCCGUAGCCCGCGAGUACCGGUUCAAUUGGUACGCGAUUCGAAUUAUGAACUGGAGUAGCUGGAAUGCUAGGGGUUAUAGAAGGAGAGAUGGUGGAAAAAUUGUCAUUAUUAGUGUUCUGAAUGUCAAUAGAACUAAUCACCACUUCAGUGCUCGCGUCCGAAAUGUGUUCGUCUGUAGUCACUAAAUUAGACAUUUUCGCCUCAAAUCAUGUUAAUGCUUCUAUAGUCUUGAUUCUAUUUGAUUACUAUAUUUAAUAUAUUAAGGAAAUACUAUAUCAAAUUACAGUUGAACUUUUAAUUAUAAUUAUUAAGAUUAUGGAAUUGUAAAUAAUACAAAAUAUUAUAAUGUGUACUUAUUUCGACUGAAACUUAUGUCUGAUAGCAAUUUAAAAGUGUUAAAUAUCAAAUAAUCGUCAAAUUUCAUA